CCUACGGGUGGCAGCAGUGGGGAAUAUUGCACAAUGGGCGCAAGCCUGAUGCAGCCAUGCCGCGUGUGUGAAGAAGGCCUUCGGGUUGUAAAGCACUUUCAGCGGGGAGGAAGGCGUUAAGGUUAAUAACCUUGGCGAUUGACGUUACCCGCAGAAGAAGCACCGGCUAACUCCGUGCCAGCAGCCGCGGUAAUACGGAGGGUGCAAGCGUUAAUCGGAAUUACUGGGCGUAAAGCGCACGCAGGCGGUCUGUCAAGUCGGAUGUGAAAUCCCCGGGCUCAACCUGGGAACUGCAUUCGAAACUGGCAGGCUAGAGUUUUGUAGAGGGGGGUAGAAUUCCAGGUGUAGCGGUGAAAUGCGUAGAGAUCUGGAGGAAUACCGGUGGCGAAGGCGGCCCCCUGGACAAAGACUGACGCUCAGGUGCGAAAGCGUGGGGAGCAAACAGGAUUAGAUACCCCAGUAGUC
This 465-nucleotide ribosomal RNA is filed under the name uncultured Klebsiella sp. RNAcentral's name for it is "bacterial SSU rRNA". It matches the Rfam family "Bacterial small subunit ribosomal RNA", at positions 338 to 795 of the family's 1533-position model. The record is from RNAcentral. Lineage: Bacteria; Pseudomonadati; Pseudomonadota; Gammaproteobacteria; Enterobacterales; Enterobacteriaceae.